Molecule: ribosomal RNA, 301 nt
Filed under: uncultured bacterium
Lineage: Bacteria
Description: partial 16S ribosomal RNA
Rfam family: Bacterial small subunit ribosomal RNA
Source: RNAcentral
CAGUAGCCGCGGUAAGACGAACCGUGCAAACGUUACUCGGAAUCACUGGGCUUAAAGCGCACGUAGGCGGCGACAUAAGUUAGAGGUGAAAUCCCAUCGGCUCAACCGUGGAACUGCCUCUAAUACUGUGUUGCUUGAGGGAGAACGGGGCAUUCGGAACUUCCGGUGGAGCGGUGAAAUGUGUUGAUAUCGGAAGGAACGCCGGUGGCGAAAGCGGAAUGCUGGGUCUCUUCUGACGCUGAGGUGCGAAAGCUAGGGUAGCGAACGGGAUUAGAUACCCGCGUAGUCCCUGUCUCUUAUU